This is a long non-coding RNA of Paramisgurnus dabryanus, 337 nucleotides long. RefSeq lists it as uncharacterized. Lineage: Eukaryota; Metazoa; Chordata; Actinopteri; Cypriniformes; Cobitidae. The record is from RefSeq and is a predicted model, not a curated record.
AGAGAAAUGACAGAGAGCAGUUGAUCAUGGAUAAGCCAGUUUGCCUCAUUAACAAAGACUCAGAUGGGAAGCUUUGUGUACAGCAGUCAGCGCUGCAGAUCCUUCUGAAGAUCGAUCAGCCGGUGGUGGUGGUGGCUGUGUUCGGUCUCUAUCGCACUGGGAAAUCCUACCUGAUGAAUCGACUCGCCGAGAAACAAACAGUAUGAAAUUAUCAGGGUUUGCAUUGGGGAGCACAAAGGAGUCCAAGACAAAGGCAUCUGGAUGUGGUGUGUGCCCCACCCCUCUAAAAAAGAAACCACUCUGGUGUUGCUGGACACUGAGGGACUCUGAGACGUCA